This 541-nucleotide ribosomal RNA is filed under the name Australostoma sp. MCJ-2002. RNAcentral describes it as "partial 16S ribosomal RNA". It matches the Rfam family "Bacterial large subunit ribosomal RNA", at positions 1804 to 2614 of the family's 2925-position model. The record is from RNAcentral. Lineage: Eukaryota; Metazoa; Arthropoda; Insecta; Orthoptera; Stenopelmatidae.
UUAUCAAAAACAUGUCUUUUUGGUGUAUUUAAAAAGUCUGGCCUGCCCACUGAUUAAUUUUGAAGGGCCGCGGUAUUCUGACCGUGCAAAGGUAGCAUAAUCAUUAGUCUUUUAAUUGAAGGCUGGUAUGAAUGGUUUAACGAGGUAUUAACUGUCUCAUUUUAAUUUUUUGAAUUUAACUUUUUAGUUAAAAGGCUAAAAUGAAUUUAAAGGACGAGAAGACCCUAUAGAGCUUUAUAUUAAAUUUAUAUAGUUGAGUAUGGUUGUUGAUUUAAUUAUGUAAUAUAAAUAUUUGGUUGGGGUGACUUGAAGAUUAAAUAAACUCUUUAUUAUUUAAAAAACAUUAAUAUAUGAUUAGUUGAUCCAUUAUUGAUGAUUAUAAGAUUAAGUUACCUUAGGGAUAACAGCGUAAUUUUUUUUAAGAGUUCAUAUCAACAAGAAAGAUUGCGACCUCGAUGUUGGAUUAAGGAAUAUUAUUGGGUGUAGCAGUUCAAUAAAUAGGUCUGUUCGACCUUUAAAUCCUUACAUGAUCUGAGUUCAA